GGUGUCAUUCCAAAACUGGCAAUGCUCUUGAAAAAUGAGGCUGAGGGAUCUAAGGUCAUUAGAAAUGAAGCGACAAACGCGUUGCUGGAACUUGCGAAAGAUGAGUACAGCAAGAUUCUUAUCAUGGAGGAAGGUCUUCUUCUGGUCCCUUUAGUUGGUGCAGCUUCCUACAAGUCCUUCAAACCACCUCUGUAUUCAUGGCCUUCUUUUCCUGAUGGCACCAAAAUUGAAAAAACCCCAAAACCUUCAAGAUUUGGUGCCUCUGAAUUACUUCUUGGAUUAAAUAUUGAGGAUAAUAAUGUAAACAUUGAGGAAGGAAAGAAGAAUGCAAUGAUAGGACGCACUCGACAACAAUUUCUUGCACGUAUCGGGGCAAUUGAAACUGAAGAAGAGAACAAAUCCAUGGGUGGACUUCCUUCGAAUCCAAGGUUUACUCUUUUGCCGUGGAUUGAUGGUGUGGCUCGGUUGGUAUUAAUUCUUGGACUUGAAGAUGAGUCAGCUAUUGCUAGAGCUGCUGAUGCCAUUGCAGAUGCUUCUAUUAAUGAACAUAUGCGAGUUUCAUUUAAAGAAGCAGGUGCUAUAAACUCUCUUGUAAAGCUAAUUAACCAUCCUAGUGACACUGUUAAAUUAGCUGUUCUUCGGGCUAUAAAGAGGCUGUCUAUCAGUGAUGACGUAUGCCAAAGGUUGGAAGAACAAAAUGCUUUGUAUUCUUUGGUUGACUUGCUCAGUAACUCAGAGAUCUCUAAGAGCUUGACAAGAAUGGUAUUGGACAUUCUUACUCGGAUCCUAGAUCCUAGCAAAGAAAUGAAAUCAAAGUUUUAUGAUGGACCAGUUAAUGGGUCAAUAAAGGCAAGGAGUGCAGCAAGUAAUGCCGGGUUGACUGGAAAUGAAAAUCUGAAAGUUGCAUCAACUACCAGUUUGGAAACUGUCAAUGUGGUGGAUCUCUUAGAUUCAACUGUUUUAUCUCGCCUAGUUGAUAUCAUGAGGACAUCGUCUCCGGAUUUGCAGAGGAAAGCUGCUUCUAUCCUUGAGUUCGCUUCAGUUAUUGAGCCGUGCAUGGAAAAGAUCCUGUCCAUUGACCUAGAAACUGGUCUAGAUGCUGUUCUCCAGCAGAAAACUUUAAAUGAUACAGAAUCUGAAAUAGAUAUGCAGAACCCGGAACUAUAUGCCCUUGAGGUAGAAGACGCAGGUUAUGCAAUAUCUGCAGCAUCUCGAUUACUUGCAAGACUGCUGGACUUUGAGCAAUUCUGUCAUAUAGUAAAUGCAUCUCAUUUCACAAAAUUACUGCGGAAGGUUCUGAAAUCUGACAUCCCUCUAUACCACAAAGACUGGGUUGCUGCCUGCCUUGUAAAGCUGAGCUAUCUCUCUGGUCCAAAUUUUGACUAUAAUAAUCCAAUCAACUUAGAAGUAACUCUUUACGAGACAAUCCCAAGGCUGAUAGAACAGAUGAAGACCUCAUAUUCACGGGAAGUAGAAGAGGCUUCUGUUGUAGAACUGAACAGAAUAACCUCUGAAGAGGUGGUGAAUUCCACAAGAGCCGUGGCCGCAGAGGGAGGGAUAUUUCCGUUAGUGAAGGUGCUUGAAAAUGGGAGCGAGCGAGCUGUUGAAGCAGCUCUAGCAAUACUAUAUAAUUUGAGUAUGGAGAGUGAGAAUCAUGCUGCAAUUAUAGCUGCAGGAGCUGUGCCAAUUUUGAGAAGACUUGUAUUAGCUCAAGGGUCACAUUGGAUGCGAGCUCUGAGAUUGCUUAGGACAUUACCUACAUAACCAACUGAGCUAUAUUAUGCUUUUACCAGUUGUAAAAUAAAACGAUAUAUGAAAUCCCGUAUUGUUAGUCUUCAACCUACUUUUUCUUUUAAGCCAAAAACAAGUAUAAUUAAUAUACAGAGAUAAAUGUACAUUGGUCCUGGGGACUUUAUAAUUUCGUUCCAACUGCACAACUAGU
Molecule: unclassified non-coding RNA, 1942 nt
Filed under: Hevea brasiliensis (rubber tree)
Lineage: Eukaryota; Viridiplantae; Streptophyta; Magnoliopsida; Malpighiales; Euphorbiaceae
Source: RNAcentral